This 148-nucleotide non-coding RNA is filed under the name Otolemur garnettii (small-eared galago). Lineage: Eukaryota; Metazoa; Chordata; Mammalia; Primates; Galagidae. The record is from Rfam by way of RNAcentral.
GCUGGGUGCAGUGGUGUGUGCCUGUAGUCCCAGCUACCUGAGAGGCUGACAUGGGAGGAUCACUUGAGCCCAGGAGUUCUAUGUUGCAAUGAGCUACGAUUGUGCCAUUGCACUGUAGUUUGGGAAACAGAGUGAGACUCUGUCUCUU